GCUCACCUUUUGGCAGAACAUACACUAAAGUUGGUGCGAUACAGAGAUUAGCAUGGCCCCAGCGCAAGGAUGACACACAAAUUUGUGAAGCGUUCCAUACUUUG
Molecule: small nuclear RNA, 104 nt
Organism: Otolemur garnettii (small-eared galago)
Lineage: Eukaryota; Metazoa; Chordata; Mammalia; Primates; Galagidae
Source: Ensembl